GUAGUCUCGCACAGAUGCAUAUCAAUAAGCGGAGGAAAAGAAACUAACAAGGAUUCCCCUUAGUAACGGCGAGUGAAGCGGGAAGAGCUCAAAUUUGAAAUCUUCAAGGGUUUACCUUUACGAAUUGUAGUUUAAAGAAGGUGUUUUCUGCUGAGGUUUUGGUAAAAGUUCUUUGGAAUAGGACAUCAUAGAGGGUGAGAAUCCCGUAUUUGACCAUUACUUUCAACUUUGUGAUACACUUUCAAAGAGUCGGAUUGUUUGGGAAUGCAGUCCAAAAUGGGUGGUAAAUUUCAUCUAAAGCUAAAUAUUGGCGAGAGACCGAUAGCGAACAAGUACCGUGAGGGAAAGAUGAAAAGAACUUUGAAAAGAGAGUUAGACAGUACGUGAAAUUGUCAAAAGGGAAGCGUUUGACACCAGUGUUGUUUUUCUGAAAAUCAAUUAAAGAACUGUUUAUGCUAAGCUGUUUAGACUUUAUCAGCUAUCUGCUUAGUUUUGAGCUUUUCUUUAAUGCACUUUUCAGUUAACAAGUCAACAUCAAUUUCUUUUGCUGUAAAAAAGCUUGAGGAAGGUGGCUUGAGAUUCGUCUUAAGUGUUUAUAGCCUCUUGCCUAUGCAGUCGGAGAGAUUGAGGUCUGCAGCGUAGAUCCUUCGGGGCUAAAUGCAUUUGUGCUAAGUUAUAGCAUUUUAUAGACAACUUGUUGACUAUGAUUUGUCUUGUAGCUUACUCGCUUAUGUUAUUUUACCUACGCUUAGGAUGUUGACAGCAGUAUAGACUGU
This 776-nucleotide ribosomal RNA is filed under the name uncultured Neocallimastigales. RNAcentral describes it as "partial large subunit ribosomal RNA". It matches the Rfam family "Eukaryotic large subunit ribosomal RNA", at positions 24 to 637 of the family's 3401-position model. Lineage: Eukaryota; Fungi; Neocallimastigomycota; Neocallimastigomycetes; Neocallimastigales. The record is from RNAcentral.